GAACUAGCUUUGGCAGCACAUAUACUGAAAUUGUAUCAAUACUGAGAAGAUUAGCAUGGUUCUUGAACAAGGAUGACAUGCAAAUUCCUGUAAUGUUCCACUUGUUU
This 107-nucleotide small nuclear RNA is filed under the name Meriones unguiculatus (Mongolian gerbil). The record is from RNAcentral. Lineage: Eukaryota; Metazoa; Chordata; Mammalia; Rodentia; Muridae.